UACAGAGAUAGGAACCGAAGGGACAUAGUGAGUGAGAAGUGAUCAGAAGACAAGAGUGCAAGCCUUCUGUUAUGCCCGGACAGGGCCACCAGAGGGCUCCUUGGUCUAGUGGUAAUGCCAGCGUCUGGGAAGACGCCCAUUGCCAAGCAGACCGUGGUCUAGCAGUAGCAUCAGUGUCAAGGAAAAACACCCGCUACUUAGCAGACCGGGAAAGGGAGUCUCCCUUUCCCUGGGGGAGUUUAGAGGAGAUUCUACUCCUCCACCUCUUAUGGAGGGCCUGACAUCAGUCAGGCCCGCCCGCAGUUAUCCGGAGGCCUGACCCUGUCUCCCUGUGAUGCUGUGCUUCAGUGGUCACGCUCCUAGUCUGCUUUCAAGUUCCAUCCUGUACACCUGGCUCUGCCUUUUAGAUAACAGUAGCAAAAUUAAUGAAAGUACUAAAAGUCUCUGAUAUGCAGAAAUAAUGGCGUAAGCUGUCUCUCUCUCGCUCUCCCUCUCUCUGCCUCGGCUGCCAGGCAGGGAAGGGCCCCCUGUCCAGUGGACACGUGACUCACGUGACCUUAUCAAUCACUAGAGAUGACUCACACUCUUUACCCUGCCCCUUUUGCCUUGUAUCCAAUAAAUAACAGUGCAGCCAGGCAUUCGGGGCUACUACUGGUCUCUGCAUCUUGGUGGUAGUGGUCCCCCAGGCCCAGCUGUCUUUUAUCUCUUUGUCUUGUGUCUUUAUUUCUACAAUCUCUCGUCUCCACACAUGGGGAGAAAAACCCACUGACCCUGUGGGGCUGGUCCCUACAUCUUACCAUCAUGCAAGUCCCAUUAAGACAACUACAGUUUCGGCUGGGCGUGGUGGCUCACGCCUGUAAUCCCAGCACUUUGGGAGGCCCAGUGAGCCGAAAUCGUGCCACUGCACUCCAGGCUGGGUGACAGAGCGAGAUUCGUCUCAAAAAAAAAAAAGACAACUACAGUUUGUACAAGACUUAGGGCCAGUAAUGAAACAGUCUAGGACAUACACCCUAUGGUAACUAACCCCUAUAGCUUGCUGAUCACUUUGUCAGGAGAACUAGGUUGGUUUACAGAUUUGGACUGUAAAGAUGCCUUAUUUUGCAUUAGACAAGGAGACACAAGAGAUCUUUGAAUUUGAAUCUCUGAGGCUGGGACACAGGUCAAUCAGCAGUACUGUUAUCUCAAGGAUUUAAAAAUUCCCCCACAAUCUUUGGGAAAUUUUUGGCAUGGAACUUAACGGACAUCUGGCUGACAGAAGGAACGCUUUUACAAUAUGUGGAUGAAAUCUGUGUUGCAAGACCUUCAGAGCUUUCCUUGAAAAUACCAUUCAAAUACUGAAUUUCCUAGUGGUAACAGGCUACUGGGUUUCCAAAAAGAAAGCCCAGAUCUGCCAAAAGAUAGUAAAAUACUUAGGGUUUGAACUGAAUAAGGGGCAUAGAAACCUUCCCCCAGGCCACCUGGAGGCAAUCGUCUGGGUAGCUGUCCCCAUCUCCUGUAAACAACUGCAACGGUUUCUAGGAAUGAUGGGAUUCUGUUGAAUUUGGAUUUUGAAUUUUGGACUUACGGUAAAACUCCUUUAUGAGGCCCUAAAAGGAAAAAAUUCUGAGCCCCUGAUCUGGACUUCAGAAUGCCAAAAUUAAAAGUCAAAGAGGCUGAGCACGGUGGCUCAUGCUUGUAAUCCCAGCACUUUGGGAGGCCGAGGCAGUCAGAUCACUUGAGGUCAGGAGUUCGAGACCUGCCUGGCCUACACGGCAAAACCCUGUCUCUACUAAAAAAUACAAAAAUUAGCUGGGCAUCGUGGUGGGUGCCUGUAAUCCCAGCUGCUCAGGAGGUUGAGGCUGGAGAAUCCAGGAGGCAAAGGUUGCAGUGAGCUGAGAUCGUGUCACUGCACUCCAGCCUAAGUGACAAGAACAAAACUCCAUGUCAAAAAAAAUAAAUAAGUAAAUAAAAUAAAGUCAAAGAAAAGUUAAAGACUGCCUCUUUGCUGGGCCUUCCAGAUUUAAGAAAGCCCUCUAAUUUAGUUGUGCACAAAAAACAAGCCAUGGGCUUGGGUGUCCUAACUCAAAGCUUGGGAACUGACUGAAGACUGAUUGCCUAUUUCUCUGAACAGUUUGACCAGGUGGUGAGGGUUGGUCCCCCUGCCUCCGAGCAGUGGCUGCAACUUGCAACCUCUUCUAGGAGGCUGAAAAGCUAACUCUAGCUCAGCUCAUCACUGUCCACACACUGCAUCACAUCUCCUGUCUCUUAGAUCAAAAAGGUGGAUACUGGCUGACCUCUGAGAGGUUGGGAAAAUACCAAGCCAUCCACCCUCCUUGACAAUCCAGAGGUGAAGUUAAAGGUGUUCUCGGUUCUUAACUCUGCUACCUUAAUACCUCCAGAGAAGGAGCCAGGGCCCAUACAAAAUUGCCUUCCAAUUAAUGAGCAGGUCUUUCCAAGGCAACCAGACCUGGCAGAUCAGCCCCUGCUGUGCUCCAAACUAGGACUGUUCACAGAUGCAAGCAGCUUCAUGGACCAUGGACAUCAUCAUGCUGAAUUUGAGGUCAUUACCUUACAAGGAAUUAAGGAAGCCAAAGCCUUAUUGCUAGGCACCUCAGCUCAGUGGGCCAAGGUGCCCUUAUGCAUGCCCUCCAAUUGGGUAAGAAAAAAAAUUAUGAAUAUUUACAUAGACUCCCAAUAUGAUUUCUUGGUGGCACAUGCCCACAGAGCUAUGUAGAGAGAGGUCUUUUGACUAGCAAAAAUAAAGAAAUCAAAUAUACUUCUGAUAUUUUGGCCUUAUUAGAAUCUGUAAAAGGCCAGGCAUGGUGGCUCAUGCCUAUAAUCCCAGCACUUUGGGAGGCUGAGGCGGGUGAAUCACCUAAGGUCAGGAGUUCAAGACCAGCCUGGCCAACAUGGUGAAACCUCGUCUCUACUAAAAAAUAUAAAAAUUAGCCAGGCACGGUGACACAUGCCUGUAGUCCCAGCUACUUGGGAGGCUGAGGCAGGAGAAUCACUUGAACCCGGGAGGCAGAAGUUGCAGUGAGCCGAGAUUGUGCCACUGCACCCUAGCCUGAGCAACAGAGUGAGACUCUAUCUAAAAAAAAAAAAAAAAAAAAAAAAAAAAAAAAAAAAAUCAGUAAAUGCCCCCUCUAAUAGUGGCUAUCAUCCACUGUCCCAGCCAUCAAAAAGGAGACUCCCGAAUAGUCAAAGGAAAUUAGCUUGCCGACCUGGCAGCCAAGCAAGCCACAAAAACAUUGGACUCUGAGGCUUUCUUAGCCCCACUAAUACCUCACAAUGAUCUGACCAAGUUCCAACCUUGCUAUACCAAAGGAGAUUUAAAGUGAGCCAAGGAAUGGGGAUUCACAUCCCAGCCCUGGCCCAUCCAGGCUGGAAAUGUAAUCUGGAAGGUAUCGUAUUGGUUCCCAGUGCCCUCCUUAAAGAUAUAGUGAGCUAGUUUCAUCAAAGCAUCCAUUACAGAAAAGAUGCAACCCUUCAAUGGCAUGUGAGUUCUUGAUUGACCCCGACAUGCAAUGGGGUCAUUCAAAAUGUGAUCUAUCAAUGCAUGCUUUGUGCCCAAACUGCCCUAAAACUGACCCCACCCCUGUUCAAGGGUACAACAUUGAGGAGACUCUCCAUGCAAGGACUGGCAAGUUAAUUUCACCACAAUGCCACGGGUGCCUGGAGGCUACAGGGCAUCUUUUUGUACAAAAAACAUCUUUUUGUUUUUUGUAGACACAUUUACAGGAUGGGUAGAGGCAUACCCUAUCCGAACAGAAAGGGAGCUGAAGUGGCCCACACUAUACUAAAGAGAUAAUUCCCCAGUAUGAACUCCCUUUGACGAUUCAGAGUGACCAUGGUGCGGUGUUCAUCUCUCAGGUAGUACAGGAAGUGUCUCAAGUCCUAGACAUUGAAUGGAAACUUCAUGCAGCACAGCCACAGCCCACCGGAAAGACUAAAAAACUGAAUCAAACUAUUUAAAGAACAAUUAGGCCAGGUGUGGUGGCUUAUACCUGUAAUCCCAGCACUUUGGGAGGCCAAGGCAGGUGGAUUAUUUGAGCCCAGGAGUUUGAGACCAGCCUGGCCAACAUGGCAAACCCCAUCUCUACUAAAAAUACAAAAAAAUUAGCUGGACGUGGAGGCGCAUGCCCUUAGUCCCAGCUGCUUGGGAGGCUGAGGCACACGAAUUGCUUGAAGCCGGGAGGUAGAGAUUGCAGUGAGCCGUGAUCAUGCCACUCCACUCCAGCCUGGGCGACAGAGUGAGACUGUCUCAAAAACAAAAAAAACAAAAAAACAAAAAAAAAAAACUGCUGCUAAAGUGUGCCAGGAAACUAAUCUAACUUGGGACAAAGUACUACCUUCUCUCCUGCUGAGGAUUUGGGUCAUUCCCUGAAACAGGCUCUAGUUGAGCCCUUUAGAAAUUAUGUAUGAGAGACCCUUCCUAGCCACAUUGGGGCUAGAUCAGGCUAUAAAAUCUUAGAAAGGGAAGGAGCUAUUAGACAUUAUUUAAAAUUGCUAAAUGAAAUACCGACUUCUGUUCAUGAGUUUGCUUCUUCCCCAUGGACAGGCCACCUCACCCUUUCUAGGCUAGAGACCAAGUUCUACUUAAAACCUGGAGGGAGACUGGACUGAAUCACCAACUAGCCCCUCAAAGGGUAAGACCCUAUGAGGUCCUUCUGACCACGCAUUCAUCAAUUGGGCAGGAGUUAAACCGUGGGUACAUUAUACCUGGAUAAAAAUUGCCCCCGCCUCAGCCCGACCUAUCAGGUUAAUAGACCUGAAAGGACAUGUGAACCAACUAAAAACCUGAAGCUGCUUUUGAAGAAAACAUCCACAGAUAAGUAAAGCCUUCUUGCUAAGCACCACAGUACUAUAUGGCUUACGGUGUCUGCUGAAACCAAUCUUUUCCUACAAUGGGCACAUUAUGCAGAUAGCCUACAGAAGCUCGUAGGGUUUGAGGGCUGUUACCUAUCUCUAGCAUGUUGGUAUUACCUUGGUCGGUCUUGCUCUUACAAGGAAACAACUGAGUACAGUAACAAACUUUUAUGAAAAACUAUUCCAAAGAAAAUCAGGUCUCUGGUGUGCUAACACGAGGAAAUGUAAGGCUAUGGCCUGGCAUUAAUAUAACCCUUCACAACCCAGGUCACAGAAAAUCUUUUACUAUAUAUCAGACUGUUCAACGAACUUUUGAAUACACUGCUCCUCCUCUCCUGAAGGAAUUUCCCUUGGCAGCCCCCCAAAUUUUGGCUAUUAAUAGCCACUAUACUGAGGAAGGUUUUUAUCAAGCUUGGGAUGAUUAUCUUUGAAUGACUGUGUUCCCCUACCCUUAUCCUGCCACCGGCCACAUAAAUCAAAUUGCCCCUUUAUGUUGGGAACAACAACAAAAAAAAAAACAGCAUUCUUAUGAUAACUGGCCAAAUAUCACUAAGAAUAUGGGCUGGAUGCUCCCCCCACCAGUGUGAACAUACUCCAGGGCUGCAACAAACUGACUGGUUUGCUACCAAUUGGACACAGGCCAGGAAUUCAAUUGGCUAGCUUCAUACGGAGUGCAAUGGCUAUGUGGGACUAAUCUUUGGCCCUGAUUACCCAUUGGCUAGAUAGGACAAUAUGCUCUGGGAUUCUCACAGGUCCAGGGCCAUUUGGCAAAAACCAACGGACAACCUGGAAAUUUCCCAAAUGUGUUGCAUCAACGGACCAAGUCAGUUUUCCACUGGUAUGACCAUCCCCUCUCCAUUUUUGUUCCCCAAGUUAGUUUAAAAAAUGUUAUCUGACAUGUUGAGAUCCUAACAAAUUAUACCCAGCAUGUGCUGAAGGAUGCAUUCAAAGGCAUCUCUUUAGUCACCUCUCAGAUGACUAUGAUGAAAAAAGCAGUUUUGUAGAACCACAUGGCCCUUGAUGUCUUCACAGCUACACAAGGAGAACUUGUGCCAUAAUGAAAACUGAAUGCUAUGUGUACAUUCCAGACAAUUCAGGAAACAUCACCCUGGCCCUUCAAGAUAUGUACAAACUGAUGCUGUGUCCAACCUCAUGAUGUCACUAAACCAAUGAUUAUCUUAAUACUUCCGGUCAGUACCCUCUUGGUGGAAAAAAUUACUGGUAAUUCUAGCUAUGACUAUAGGAACAGGAAUACUCCUUGGCUGUGGAUUAUACUGCUGUGGCACUAUAUAUGUGGGAUUGCAAGAUCGCCCUUCUCAAGCUCCUGACACCCUGUUCAACAAUGUUACAACAAAAUUGCCUAAGUCCCGGGACAUGUGAAUAUUUUCAACUGCAGGUAAGUAAGUUCCAUUCCUCAGCCCCCUAGGAAUGCCCCUUGCCAGCGGGAAGUAGUUAGACUGAGUCAACACCCCAACUGAAGAUUGAGGAAAGGAACAGUGUCAGUGGGGAUACUGUAACCCAGCCUAUAUUAGAAAAAUCAUCAGGUGUUUAUUUUACUUAUUUUUCUUUCUCUGUCCUUAGCUUCCUCCAGGCAGGAUCGCUCGCACGUAGUCAUUUUGGUAGAGAGCAGUCACUAACAAGUGAUUAACUUUAUAUCCUAACCCCCAGGGGCUGCUUGCAAGAUUAACGUACUUGUUUUUCUUUUAAAGAACAAUGAUCCUUAGGUCAUACUGACCUCCCUGAUGGCAUCCAGAAAUUUGACUGGCCAAGGGACACGAGCAGCUUUGAUCAUCAGGGAAAGCCCCCAAUUACAUGCAAAGGAAGGUCAUAUUUGAGAAUCUGCUUCUCCCACCCUCAUACUUUGGCCAAAUUGAAUAAACCUUUCUAAGCAUUAAUGUGUCAGUGUUUGGCUUACUGUGCACCGGGUACAUGAACCUAACUUUUGGGGUUCUACAACAGCAACCUGACUGAGCUAAUCACGUACAGCCAAGAACAGCUGAGCUACAGUAGCUCCUUAAAAUCAGGGUCCAGAUGUUGUUCAUAGAUGAGAGAAGAGAAAAUAACUAUCACAUGCAGCAUCAGACAUUCAAUGACACAAAUCCUCAAAAUCAGAUGCUUUAAAAAAUGAAGCCAAUGGCUGGGCAUGGUGGCUCAUACCAGCCUGGGCAACAUGGCAAAACCUGGUCUCUAUUAAAAAAAAUACAAAAAAUUGGCCAGGCAUUGUA
This 7073-nucleotide long non-coding RNA is filed under the name Homo sapiens (human). Its description in RNAcentral is "non-protein coding lnc-C2orf78-3:1". The record is from RNAcentral. Lineage: Eukaryota; Metazoa; Chordata; Mammalia; Primates; Hominidae.